RNAcentral lists this ribosomal RNA (885 nucleotides) under marine sponge bacterium plateOTU22. RNAcentral's name for it is "bacterial SSU rRNA". It matches the Rfam family "Bacterial small subunit ribosomal RNA", at positions 89 to 975 of the family's 1533-position model. The record is from RNAcentral.
UGACGACCGGCGCACGGGUGCGUAACGCGUAUAGAAUCUACCUUGUAGUAAGGGAUAGCCCAGAGAAAUUUGGAUUAAUACCUUAUAGUAUCUUAAGUGAGCAUUCACUAAGGAUUAAAGAUUUAUCGCUACAAGAUGACUAUGCGUUCUAUUAGCUAGUUGGUAUGGUAACGGCAUACCAAGGCUACGAUAGAUAGGGGUCCUGAGAGGGAGAUCCCCCACACUGGUACUGAGACACGGACCAGACUCCUACGGGAGGCAGCAGUGAGGAAUAUUGGACAAUGGAGGCAACUCUGAUCCAGCCAUGCCGCGUGUAGGAAGACUGCCCUAUGGGUUGUAAACUACUUUUAUAGAGGAAGAAACAAUAUUACGUGUAAUAUUCUGACGGUACUCUACGAAUAAGGAUCGGCUAACUCCGUGCCAGCAGCCGCGGUAAUACGGAGGAUCCAAGCGUUAUCCGGAAUCAUUGGGUUUAAAGGGUCCGUAGGCGGGUUUGUAAGUCAGUGGUGAAAGUUUUCGGCUUAACCGGAAAAUUGCCAUUGAUACUGCAAGUCUUGAAUUAUUGUGAAGUGGUUAGAAUGUGUAGUGUAGCGGUGAAAUGCAUAGAUAUUACACAGAAUACCGAUUGCGAAGGCAGAUCACUAACAAUUAAUUGACGCUAAGGGACGAAAGCGUGGGUAGCGAACAGGAUUAGAUACCCUGGUAGUCCACGCCGUAAACGAUGGUUACUAGCUGUUCGGACUUCGGUCUGAGUGGCUAAGCGAAAGUGAUAAGUAACCCACCUGGGGAGUACGUUCGCAAGAAUGAAACUCAAAGGAAUUGACGGGGGCCCGCACAAGCGGUGGAGCAUGUGGUUUAAUUCGAUGAUACGCGAGGAACCUUACC